AAAAUGAGUAGUAUAGGGAAUGAGGGUUCUAGACCACUUUUUCGGCCCGCGAUCUCACCCAACUUCCGGUCAGCGGUUUCCAUAUUUUUCCCUCAAAAACGCGGGCUCAUAUUUUUCUAGACAAUUUUUCUAUUAUUUUUGGUAUUAUUUUUUCUAUUAUUUUUGGCAUUAUUUUUUCUAUUAUUUUUGGCGUUAUUUUUUCUAUUAUUUUUCUAUUAUUUUUCAGCAUUAUUAUUUACAAGAAUUAUUAUCAUAUGCUAGGGCUCAUAUUUUUCUAGACCAUUUUUCAUCUAUUAUUUUUCAGAAUUAUUUUAAUCUUUAUUAUCAUAUUUAAUUAUACUCAAGGGGCCUAGGCUCUUAGGGUCAAACACAUUACUUGAAUCAUCUUUUUUAUCUUGUGUGCUCACUCCAAUGUUAAUAUUAUUUGAUACAGAGAAAUUUAUAUCACCAGCCUUCCCAGUUCUACUAGAACUCUUACGACAACCACAAAUCUUACCUAAGCAGGAGAAGCAUGACCUCCACCUUGACAUCUUAUCUUAUGAUAGACCACAUGUUAACUACCUGACCCCGAAUAUCGGAGUGACCAACAAAAAGACAUAUCCAUACUAGUCCCUGUUGGCAUUGAGUGUUCAGGUUUGACUAUAAUACACCAGGCUACCGUGUUAUCUACCAAGUCCGGCUGGCCUCCUAAAUAGAACAAACUAUUACCCUUGAAAACAUAGCAAGCUGUACUUCCACCGUUAUUCGUAAAAGUUCCAUUAAACCAAGUGUAAGUCAGUUUUGUUAAGUCCACCGUUCUUAGAGCGAUUUCCUUCCUUACCUGUGUAAAUUUUCCAUUAGAUUGUUUUUCCCAUACGGUAGCCCACAGGAUUAGGGAUAAGGGUAUGUUUAACCAGGUUUUAAAAAGUAGGAAAUCUGAUUUAAUAGUAAUUGACUCAAGAUUGAGGUCAGCCAUAUUAUUAAUGGGAUCAGUCCUCCAUGAAGGGGGAAUCUGAUUGUGGCAGUAGGCGUAGUACCUUGCCGCAGCAACUGCUACACCACGGUAACCCCAAAUCCAUUCUGCAUGUAUAUGUCGCCGUAUUCUUACAUAUCUUAAGUCAGCCGUUGCUUGAGUAAGACCAGUUGAAGGUUUUAGGAAAUUCUUUUCUACCCACUGUUUGUUAACAGCGUCCUUAUCAUUUACAGGGUCCUUUAGAUCAAGAAUACCACUUGAAUCUCCCAUGUCCAGAUCACCCUUUACCAGUCCACCUCUACUACUCAUGAACUCAUCUAUUGCCCACCUUUUAUUGACAGCUGAACCGUCAGUUGUAGGAUUUCCAACUCUAAUUAACUCAUAAUCGUUAACAUCAAGAUUACCUGACAAAACACCACCACCACGCUUCAGGAACUGUUUACACCAUAAGCUCAUAGAACUGUAGGAAACUGCAGCAGAGUCCCCAGCUGAGCCACUACUGAGACCUGUAAUACUAUAACCACCCAUGUCAAUAUUACCGCUCAUACUAAAGCCACUACUACUUACAGAACUCCCACUAACAUGAUCCGUGACCCAUUUCUUAGACACAGCAGAAUUAUCAGUUGUGGGAGCACCUAACUUUAUAAUUUCAUUGUUUCCCAUAUCAAGGUCAGCAGAUAGUGUAAGUCCACUGUAAGUCUCACGCCUCCUUCUACCACCGCUAAUCUUAUCUUCCACCCACUUUUUGUUAACUGCAGAUCCAUCAUCACUAGGAGCACCAACAUUUUCUAUUUCAUUUCCACCCAUCUUAAGUUUACCAGUCAUUACACUUGUACCGCUAAGCUCCAGGUAGGGUAGAAGACUUGACCUUAGGUACCCACGAUUUACAAGGGAACUGUCACUAACUGGAUUGCUAUUACAUGUAGGUGUAUUUGUGAAAUUAACAAUACCAGCAACAUUUAGUGAUCCCGUUCCGUCUAACCGUAAGAAAGUCCCUUCAUUUAGAUUAAACCAGCUUUUUGUUACAACAGACUGGGGAGUAGUUGGAUCAGCAACAUUCUCAAUUUUACCUCCACCCAUAUCAAUGUCCCCUACCAUUGUAAAACCUGCACCUGAGUAUACUCCACCUCUUGAAAUCCUAUCAACCACCCACUUCUUAUUUACAAGGGAGGAGUCCCUAUCGGGGACAGCGUUGGAAUAAAUUUGGAAAGUAUUUGUAUUCAUAUUUCCAGUCAUAGAGCCACCGGUUCUUUUAAGAUAAUUUGUGUCACUUAAUAUUCUAAAAGAAUUUAAGGCCGACGUCAGAGUAUUAUUAUUAACAGCGUCACCUCCACUUUUCGGAAUCGCAACAUUUUUAAUACGAUUUGCACCCAUGUCAAGUUCUCCUGUCAUUCUAAAACCAGUGGUAGUAGCAAAUAUUGACAGCUUACUCUCAACCCAACCCUUAGAUACAGCUUCACUAUUAAGUUUAGGUCCAAUAAGAUCAAAUAACCUCCAGCCUCCCAUGGAAACAUCUGCUUGCAUAAUUCCACCUUUCAAUCUAAAGUUAUUAUCAACCGCCCACUUUUUACUGACAGCAGACUGAUCCUCAGAGGGAUCCUUAAGAUUCUUAAUCUCAUGGUUUUUCAUAUCGAUAUCCCCAGCAAUAUCAAGUCCAGUUACAGGCCUAUUUAACAUUCCAACUACCCAGUCCUUACUAACAGCAGACUUUCCAGUUGUAGGAUCACCUAAAGCCUUUAUCUCAUUUGUUGACAUAUUGAGGUCAUUUGUAAGGAUAAGUCCAGGUAGACUUGCGUGUACAUGUCUACGGCUACCCUCAACCCAGCUCUUACUAGCAGCAUCACCUGGGUUAGUAGGAUUAUCAAGAUUAGUUAUUUUAUUACCUCCCAUGUCAAUAUCCCCAGUCAUUGUAAACCCUGCAGGUUGAAUUGUAAGGGCAGCCUGUUUGACUAUCUCAUCAUCCACCCACUUUUUUGUGACCGCAGACGUAUCAUCUGUUGGUGCACCCAGACCUUUCACCUCAUUACCAUCCAUCUCAAUGUCACCCUUCAUGGUAAAUCCAUCCUUAUCAAACACACUACCACUUGAUGGGUCAACUUUAUUUACUCCUUUGUUGUAUCCUCUAUAGAGAGCCAUUUUAUAGAAUACAUAAUGUUUACAGGAUAACUUUCAUUAGAAUGAAUACAACUAUAGCACCGAUUCCAGCUCCAGUGAUAGCGCUAACUCCUGAAGACUCAUGGGUACUAACCACAUCAUGUUUCAUGAUAGGAACAACUUGAGUCUCGGCACUUGUAGAACCUUCCUGAGGCUUAACUCUUGUAGGACCUCCCGGAACCUUUUUAUUUCCAUCAAUAGUAUCAAGGUGGUGAACUGGUGUAUUGUCUUGAUGCUGUUUCUUUGGGGGAUUAGCCUUCUUAACCCCAACAUAAUUAAGUUCGGUAUUAACUCCUCUUUUCAUAUCCUUUGUUGCGUUUUUUAGAAUAUUGUUAUACCCAGGUAUAGGCUUACUUAGAAUUAUGAGACUUGACGGAAUCAGAACAGUUCCAGGGGUGACGGCUGUGUUAAGUACAACAUUUGUGUCUCUAAUAGCAAUUCUCAUAUUACCUAGAGUUACAACAGGAUCAGCUUGAAUAACGCAAUCAUUUACCAGUGCGCUGAACUUAACCUGGGUAGCAGAUGACUUUCCAUAGCUUCCAGUGAUAGGUGAUCUGGUAGCUGCCUGUGCACCUAACACAGAGUAAACGUAAGCUUCAAUUGAUUCCCCUAAUAGAAGUAAGCCAGUUUUUGUAAGUCCAAAAUACGGAUCAGUCUGAGUACUAACAAACCUUAAAUAAUCAGACUUACUAACAAGUGCAACAGAUACUCUUUCCUCAUAGUGUACACGAAUUCCUUUUAGAAACCCAUUAACAGUCAUAACUGAAGAAUUGGUUACAUUUCUUACAGGAUUGCUACCGUCACCCCUACCCUUUAUCCAGUUACUUUUUUCCCAGUCGAGUCCAUAAUCGUAUACAACAUCAUAAUAAUCACUUUUCUUUACCCACUUACCCUUAACAGGUAUAUGCUUUUUAAUAGAAUCCAGCAUAUCCAUAUAGGGAACUAAUCUUUCAGGUUUGUACACAUACUUCCUAAUACAGUAGUAAAGGUGAAAGUUCAUUAUACUUGUUAUCACAGGGUAAGUAUCAUUACUAGGAGUAAGAUGACCACUUGUGAUUCCACAUAGAUAUGUUGCGAUAUAUGCGCCGCAAAGAGCUGCAAAGUAGGGUUUCUUAUAGUCGAACACUGUACUUACACCAUCAAUCUUAAUACUGUCUUCAAUUUUAGGAAGCAUAUUUCCGCCGGCCUCCCCGGAAGUUACAAAGAAGCUUUUACCGUCCACAUAAACCUUGAAUGAAUGUGCAGGAGUGUUCCACCCAAUUUUUGGAAACCAACUAAACCUAUCAAAUGUAUCGUUGUUGUUUAACUUAGCUUUUACAUUAGAACCCAACCUCCACUUUAGAGGCCAACCGUCAACUAAACCUAGAAUCUCACUUUUUGUAACCUUUGUAUCAGUCAUAGGUAUAAACUGUGCGGGGGUAAUAAUUUUCUUAGUACCUGUGAGAUAAUAUGUAAACUCCUUAUCCUUCUUAAAACCGUCAUAUCUAAUGUCAUAUGAACUUAUACCAUCUAAAUCCACAAACCAUGUAACAACUCCAAUAUCACCACUACUGGUAGUCAUGGCUUCAAACCUAAACCUGUUCAUAUCAGCCUUAGGAUAC
Non-coding RNA from Paramuricea clavata, 4707 nucleotides. Lineage: Eukaryota; Metazoa; Cnidaria; Anthozoa; Malacalcyonacea; Plexauridae. The record is from the annotation of a GenBank genome assembly.